CCCUCAGCUGCAUCCUCCCACAGGCCCCCACUCAGAUUGCAGGGCUGGUCCUCAGCCGCUGGCUGGCAGCUGACAAAACCACAGGCCAAUCCCCGCUGGCAGGAUGGGGACAGGCUGACAAUUCCAGGUCCUAACUGCACGGUCUUGCAUUUCCUUCUCUGAAGACUCAGGUGUGGAAUGAGCGGGGCUGUGGGUGCAGCGUGGGCGAGACUCCUCUCAGCCUCCCUGGGCCUGAUCAAGGUCACCGACCCCCAGCUGUAGUCCCCAAGACUGGCUCCUGAUGGCUUUUGUGCCCCGCUCAGCAAAAGCCCAGCUGGGAUCCUCUUGGUGGCCCAGACAGAGGCAGCCUUCCGUGACUUCUGCUGUCAUCCCAGUGGCCUCUGUCUCCAGAGCAGGUGGAGCAAGGAGGCUGUCUACUUGCUCCCUGGACCCAGCGGACAUAUUCCCAGAGACAGCUGGAAAUAUCAUUGUGAUGUCGGACACUGGAGAUGGGACAGGAGCCACACAGACCCAGCUUUGCCCUCCGGAACUCACAGCAUCCCAGCGGCCGGCAGGGAGAGAGAGGGCCAGCAAACAACUCCGCGAGGGGGUCCCGCGAUAACAUGCGAGAAGUGGGUGGAGAACGCCGGGCAAGCCUGGGUAGCCGAGGAGGGACAGACAAGCAGGUGCAUGGGCCGAGACAUGGAGGGUACCUGGGGACACCAUCCUGGGGCAGGAAACGGCAGGUGCAAAGGCCCCGGGGCCGGCUGAGCUGCUGGCUCCCUCGCUCAGGGAGCAUCUGAGCAGCACCUCCCAGAAGCCAGGGCUGUGCUCGUGUGCAUGGGCCAAGCUUCAGAGAGAACUCGGGGGGCUCCCAGGUCUGAGGGGGGUGGGGGCCAGGGCUGGGCAGUGCAGAGGGUGAGGGGAUGUCCUUCCUUACAGAGAUAGAAUUCGAGGGGAAAGAAAAAGGCCCCCUGGCAUCCCUGCCCAGUGCAUGGGAUUGUGGGGGCUGGGAGGCAUCCCGUGGCUGGGCUGCAGGAGUUCCCAGCCAGACCUGGUCCCUUGGGGAAUGGGGGUCUGGGAGGCCUUUGCUGUGAGCCCACCUCGACAACCCACCCGACCAGUGAGCAGAAGCCUGAGCCGGGGUUCAGGGAUCCAUCCGUGGAGUCGCCCCUGAGGGAGGGCUUCCCACGUGGCACCCCACUGAGCCCCUCUCCCAAGCCCUCGCCCCUCCCUCCCAGGUUCUCGAAACCUCCUGCUGUCCCCCCGAGUUAGUGUCCAGGACUGCUUUAACAAAUGGCCACAGACUUGGCUGGAAACAAAAUAUAUUCAUUAUCUUACAGUUUGGGAGGCCAGAAGUCGAGAUCAAGGUGCCCACAGGGCUGGUUCCUCCCGAGGCCAGGAAGGGUCUCCUCUGUCCGCUCUGUCCCCAGCAGUGUCUGGCGGCUGCCCGCAAGACUUGGGUGGCUUAGGGAGACCUCACCCCAACUCUGCCUCUUUCUUCACACGGCCUUCUCUCUGAGCCUGUGUGCCCUCUCAACUCAAGAUCCUUAACUUAAUUACUUCUACAAAGAGCCCUUCUCCAGGCUGGGUGUGGUGGCUCAUGCUUGUAAUCUCAGCACUUUGGGAGGCUGAGGCAGGUGGAUCACUUGAGGUCAGGAGUUCAAGACCAGCCUGGCCAACACGGUGAAACCCCGGCACUACUAAAAAUACAAAAAUUAGCUGGGAAUGGUGCCGCAUGCCUGUAGUCCCAGCUACUUGGGAGGCUGAGGCGGGAGAAUUGUUUGAACCCAGGAGGCGGAGGUUGCAGUGAGCUGAGAUUGAGCCACUGCACCCCAGCCUGGGUGACAAGAGUGAGACUCCAUCUCAAAACAAAACAAAAAAACAAAAACAAAGAGCCCUUCUCCAAACAACGUCCCCUUCAUGGGUUCUGCGGGUUAGAACUUGGACACAUCAUUUUGGGGGUCCUCUAUUCAACCCACAACACCCCAAAAUACCAGGAAUCUGGGAAGUUGGGUCUUCUUUCACUGCUGAGCCAGGUCCCCUGCACUUCAUCCAGGUGGGCUCGGGAGCCAUGGCGGCCUCCCUUGGCAUGUGUAAGUUGGGGGACAGCGAGGAGGGCUGGGAAGUAUAAGUUGGGGGGCUGAGGCCUGAUGGUGCAGGCAGGCCUCUCAAGGAGAGGCCAGCACCGUGCCUGCCCACUAGGAACACGGCCUGUGGUCCCCGCCCCUGUGUGAAAAGAAU
Molecule: long non-coding RNA, 2223 nt
Organism: Homo sapiens (human)
Lineage: Eukaryota; Metazoa; Chordata; Mammalia; Primates; Hominidae
Exons: 3
Source: RefSeq, a predicted model, not a curated record